GUCCUGUAGAUGCUCUUCUCUGAUGGGAUGGCACGGAUGACUGUCUCUGCCUGCGUUUUAUUUAUCAGUUUGCUUGAUAAAGAUAGUCGUUCGUCGAAAGAUGUGAAUGGAGGAUUUUUUGGGAGUGUGUGAGGUGCUGAAGCAGUGCAUAUUCCACGAACACUGUGCACGGCACUGAUUCAUCUCAUAUAAUGUUGACAAAGAUUAGGUCAGAUUGAGACAGUCACGUGAUGUUAACCAGUCUGGACUGACAACACAAAACCCUUUGAGGUACCUCAGGCACUUCUCCACCUCAAUACAGAUCAACUCCCCUGACUGUGCGAAGUUUCAUCAGCAGCAGCUCCCUGAACAGAUGACUCAACGAUGUGCACAUCAUAAGAACGCCCAGAUAUCUUGGUUAUCUUUAUAAUGUGUGCAGUGAUGAUUUGUAUUGCUUUUGUUGUUGUUUUUCAAAUAUGGCACUAUGCUUUGUUGACUGUUCAGUUCUCAACGCUAAGGUAUUUUUCUAGUGGGCUGGUUGGUUCAAAUUUCAAAGUUUGAAUUUUUACUUGCCCUACCAAAAAAAAAAAAAAAAAAGGUAAUAAAUAAAUUAAAAUAGUUGUUGUGUUUGACCCAUGCAACCUUAAAUAAGAUUACAAUUCUUGAUUCUAAUGUUGAUAGCACAGCAAAAACUACUAGCCUAAUAUAAAUUUCAAAUAUUACUGAAGACACGUCAGUAAAAAAUAAGAACAUAUAAUCAAAUUAUAAGCAAUAUUACAAAUAAAUACAAACAUACAAAUGAAAUAAACAUUGUUUUUCAGGUAGGUCUAACAGUAGUUUUCAGGUACACAAAUUGAAUAAAGUAAUGAAAUGUAAAAUAGCUCUGCAUAUUCUGCACUGUAUAAAUUAAGUAUAGAUUACUCCUUAUUAAAGUAACAAAAGUUAUUCAAUCAACAGCAAUGAGUGAUUUGUUCUUUGCCCUUUCGUAGUUUAACAUUAAAAACAGACAGCAGCAGGAAUAUUAGGCUUGUAAGUCCUAAUGCCCAGCUCAAAUAUAGUUACGUGAGUUUUAUAUCUCAACUGUUUAUGUUAAUUUAAGACAUAACUAUGUUUAGGACAUUAGCCUAGAUGGGUAUUUUGACAUCAUUUUGUGUGAAUUUGUCCAUUUAAGUGCAAUUAAUAGUAUUAGCACACAACGUCUCACAGUGUGCGAGUACUGAAUUGAGCUCUUUCGUGUCCUCUUGCGCUUAAACAUUUAAAUUGGCAAUGAUUAAAACAAAUGCUAA
Long non-coding RNA from Megalobrama amblycephala (Wuchang bream), 1265 nucleotides. RefSeq lists it as uncharacterized. The record is from RefSeq and is a predicted model, not a curated record. The transcript has 3 exons. NCBI's taxonomy places the organism in Eukaryota, Metazoa, Chordata, Actinopteri, Cypriniformes, Xenocyprididae.